AAAAAAAAUGAAAAAAAUAAAGAGAAAG
Molecule: small RNA, 28 nt
Filed under: Arabidopsis thaliana (thale cress)
Lineage: Eukaryota; Viridiplantae; Streptophyta; Magnoliopsida; Brassicales; Brassicaceae
Description: ATSL179950
Source: RNAcentral